AGUGAGCGCUGGCGGUAGGCCUAACACAUGCAAGUCGAACGGCAGCACAGUAAGAGCUUGCUCUUACGGGUGGCGAGUGGCGGACGGGUGAGGAAUACAUCGGAAUCUACUUUUUCGUGGGGGAUAACGUAGGGAAACUUACGCUAGUACCGCAUACGACCUACGGGUGAAAGCAGGGGAUCUUCGGACCUUGCGCGAUUGAAUGAGCCGAUGUCGGAUUAGCUAGUUGGCGGGGUAAAGGCCCACCAAGGCGACGAUCCGUAGCUGGUCUGAGAGGAUGAUCAGCCACACUGGAACUGAGACACGGUCCAGACUCCUACGGGAGGCAGCAGUGGGGAAUAUUGGACAAUGGGCGCAAGCCUGAUCCAGCCAUACCGCGUGGGUGAAGAAGGCCUUCGGGUUGUAAAGCCCUUUUGUUGGGAAAGAAAAGCAGCAGGUUAAUACCCCGCUGUUCUGACGGUACCCAAAGAAUAAGCACCGGCUAACUUCGUG
This 492-nucleotide ribosomal RNA is filed under the name uncultured bacterium. Its description in RNAcentral is "partial 16S ribosomal RNA". It matches the Rfam family "Bacterial small subunit ribosomal RNA", at positions 29 to 507 of the family's 1533-position model. The record is from RNAcentral.